CCUACGGGCGGCAGCAGUGGGGAAUAUUGCACAAUGGGGGAAACCCUGAUGCAGCGACGCCGCGUGAGUGAAGAAGUAAUUCGUUAUGUAAAGCUCUAUCAGCAGGGAAGAAAAUGACGGUACCUUAGUCAGAAGCCCCGGCUAACUACGUGCCAGCAGCCGCGGUAAUACGUAGGGGGCAAGCGUUAUCCGGAUUUACUGGGUGUAAAGGGAGCGUAGACGGCAGUGCAAGUCUGGAGUGAAAGGCGGGGGCUCAACCCCCGGACUGCCCUGGACACUGUACGGCUGGAGUGCAGGAGAGGUAAGUGGAAUGCCUAGUGUAGCGGUGAAAUGCGUAGAUAUUAGGCGGAACACCAGUGGCGAAGGCGGCUUACUGAACUGUAACUGACGUUGAGGCUCGAAAGCGUGGGGAGCAAACAGGAUUAGAUACCCCUGUAGUC
RNAcentral lists this ribosomal RNA (440 nucleotides) under uncultured bacterium. Its description in RNAcentral is "partial 16S ribosomal RNA". It matches the Rfam family "Bacterial small subunit ribosomal RNA", at positions 338 to 795 of the family's 1533-position model. The record is from RNAcentral.